Long non-coding RNA from Populus trichocarpa (black cottonwood), 1794 nucleotides. RefSeq lists it as uncharacterized. NCBI's taxonomy places the organism in Eukaryota, Viridiplantae, Streptophyta, Magnoliopsida, Malpighiales, Salicaceae. The transcript is spliced from 2 exons. The record is from RefSeq and is a predicted model, not a curated record.
UCUUUACCUUUCAACCCUCUUCCUCGCUAAAAUCAACAGUUCCUUCUCCUUUUAUCACAGCCCAGUCCCCAUCUCCUCCUUUGGCCGACACCCCAUAACCACCUGUCAGUUCCACCACACCAAGACAAAUACAACAUCACAGUCCCAUAUCCACAGCCAUUAGCCACUGAUCAGUCACCAGCAACAACCAAAACCAUAAUUGUCGUCUCCCUCACUUUACCAACUGAACCGAACACACCACAAGCCCAUAAAACUCCACCCCUCUUCCUCACUAAAAUCACAGCAGCCCACCACUCAUCAUCCAAGAAUAAACCAGCAGCCACCACCAAUGUCAACCUCUUCCACCCGAAUCAACCCAUAAUAAAUCAAAACAUCCAGUAGCAGCCUGAACCAGCACCAGCCUAAUCUCACAGCCACUGCCCCAGUUGACACCGUCACAACGCUGCCUCUUCCUCCAGCAGGUGCUGGAAGCGCCACCCAAAGCUACCAUACACCCAUUACAGCCACCGUAAAGUCGUCAUCUGCCCACCAACUCCACUGUCAACAUCAGCGGUUCAAUUUCCCCUCUUCUCCAACAGCCGUCAGACCAAACACGACCUGAUCUUAGCGUCGCUGUCAUCUCCAACAUCCAACACCACAAAUCCUCCACACCCAAACCAGCAAAUCAUCCUCCACCACAGUUACCCCAAACCUCAUCAAAAUCGCAGUCUUCCACACCAGUAAAAGAUCCUGAUAUUAGCAACUUCCAUUUCUCCAAAUCAUCACGCCAGCAACAUAGCCUCAUUGGAGUGCCCCCUCGCCAUGCCAGGAUUAUGAAGUUCACCCACAAGUUGUGACCAAGUUUGGACAUUCUCUAAGAACUUGAGGGAGAAAGAUAAACAUCUGCUAGAGUUGUUUGUCUGUGGUUUUUUUUUUUUGGAUUUAUAAAAGGUACGUGAGAAGCACGCGCCAUCCAGUCAGAAUCCAAGUGCCGUGCGUAGUACACGCGUCAACAGUGUUUCCAGUCUCUAUUUUCAGCAAUUUUCUGAUCUUCUCCAUCAGGUCGCUUUGGCUGGAGUGCUGUUGACAUGCUUCGCAGCCUAUUUGUUAUCUCUGUAAACGAUGGUCUGGCUUCUGGAUCAGAGGCCCAGCAUUCUUCCAUCAACUUUCUCCAUCCUGUAUCGCAGUGUUCUGGUACAGGAGGCCUCAGCGUGCUGCUUACAAUUCCACCUUCAUUCAGAAAUUCCACAAUGUGUAAGAUCUUUUAUCUUUUCAAUUUCCUUUCCUCUGUUUUCUCUCUUCCCUGUAUUUAUCUCUCUUGUGUUGUAAUUAUUGAUAGCUUACGCGUUAUAGAGUUUCUGGGUUAAGGGAGGGAAAAAACCUGACCUAUUAUAGCGCCGAAUUGCAUGUUGGCAUAUGGCUCUUCACCAGUCAGGAUCUCCCACAUUGCGAUGCCAAACGAGAAAACAUCAACCUGUAAAGGAAGAUUUCUCAAAUGUUGUUGGAAAAUGUGGUUCAAAAACUUUAUUAAGAAGUUACAAUUUUUAUUCUUGAUAUACUCGAAACUCCAUUAUACAAGUACUGUGCUAACCUUCUCAGAGACUCGGUUGCUGGUGCCAUCCAAUAACUCUGGUGCCAUCCAUGGAAGGGUUCCACGCACACCACCAGAUACGAGCGUGUUCCUUUUAAUUUUUGACAAUCCGAAAUCUCCAACCUGGAGAACAGGUGAAUUACAUGUAUGAAUGAGACUGAUGUAGAGUGAAUAAAGCUGAAAGAAACUCUUUUGGAAAUUGAAAAGCAUGCUUUGAUACAGAA